CUGGAGCUUUCAUGUGUUGCAUUUUUUCUGUCUUAAGUAUUGCUUUAUAAUCAAAGUAAAGAGAAUGCAUAACACUUGCACUGCCUUUGUGGUAUACUCUAUGGUCCUUGUACCCUUUGUCAUUCAAGCAGGAUAGCUUCUGCCUUCUCUUCUCAAUGUUAACCUCCUCUAAAGCAGAUUAGUCAGUUUGUGUCCAAACUUCACUGCACAUUGAACUAACAUGGUACAUGCAUUCACACACCCUUGCCCACAUCUUCCAUAUGCAGUAUUUUCUGUUGUGCACUUCUCUUGUGACUGUAGCACAAUUCAGGUCUCAUUCCCUCAACAGGACACAUCUUUGUGAUGUUUCAGCAGACACGUAGGUGGAUUAUGAUGCCUAGAGAAUGUGCUGAAUGCAGAGAAACUCAAUAUAGUGAGCAGCUUUAUGCCAUGCUGGAGAUUUUGGGAGUUGGAAAGGGUGACUCACAGCCCCAGAUGGAUGAGAUGGGCCCUGAGUUUCUCAGAAGGUUUCAUCUCGCAUUGCACAUAGGUAAAGCUAAGCCAGAAAACACUAUUAUGACCCACAGAAGAAAAAAAAAUUAACAACAGUCAACAACAACAGUUUAACAUCUUCCUGCCUGCUUUUGGAUGUCACAGGCAAGGACUUUGCUGAUGAAGUGAUUAAAUGAUGUGCAGUCUGUCCUUAGCAGUGAAGGUGAUAAUUACACAGAGAAAGGCAACUAACGAAUAAGGAUGCUCCCCUGGAACAGGUCUCAGAAUAAAAACAUCAGAUGUGUGCUGCUCUCA
RNAcentral lists this long non-coding RNA (786 nucleotides) under Numida meleagris (helmeted guineafowl). RNAcentral describes it as "lncRNA (ENSNMEG00000012231.1)". Lineage: Eukaryota; Metazoa; Chordata; Aves; Galliformes; Numididae. The record is from RNAcentral.